CUUCGUCGUCGAGAGGGAAACAGCCCAGAUCAUCAGCUAAGGCCCCUAAGUGGUGACUCAGUGGC
Molecule: ribosomal RNA, 65 nt
Filed under: Serratia sp. HRI
Lineage: Bacteria; Pseudomonadati; Pseudomonadota; Gammaproteobacteria; Enterobacterales; Yersiniaceae
Description: partial 23S ribosomal RNA
Source: RNAcentral